AUUGCUUCUUGGCCUUUUGGCUAAGAUCAAGUGUAAAAAAUUCCAAUCUACAUUAUAUUUACACUACUUUAUUAACAGAGAUUAGCACCUAACAGCUAGCUUCCUGAUCCUGAUUCAGUACGGAAGGAAACAGUGAAAAUUGUCAAACCAU
This 151-nucleotide small nuclear RNA is filed under the name Canis lupus familiaris (dog). RNAcentral describes it as "U2 spliceosomal RNA (ENSCAFG00040015391.1)". It matches the Rfam family "U2 spliceosomal RNA". Rfam says of the family: U2 is a small nuclear RNA (snRNA) component of the spliceosome (involved in pre-mRNA splicing). Lineage: Eukaryota; Metazoa; Chordata; Mammalia; Carnivora; Canidae. The record is from RNAcentral.